CCUACGGGAGGCAGCAGUGGGGAAUAUUGCACAAUGGGGGAAACCCUGAUGCAGCGACGCCGCGUGAGUGAUGACGGCUUUCGGUAUGUAAAGCUCUGUCAGCAGGGACGAUAAUGACGGUACCUGAGGAAGAAGCCCCGGCUAACUACGUGCCAGCAGCCGCGGUAAUACGUAGGUGGCGAGCGUUGUCCGGAUUUACUGGGCGUAAAGGGAGCGUAGGCGGAAUUUUAAGUCGGAUGUGAAAUACCCGGGCUUAACCCGAGUGCUGCAUUUGAAACUGGAAGGCUAGAGUGCAGGAGAGGAGAAUGGAAUUCCUAGUGUAGCGGUGAAAUGCGUAGAGAUUAGGAAGAACACCAGUGGCGAAGGCGAUUCACUGGACUGUAACUGACGCUGAGGCUCGAAAGCGUGGGGAGCAAACAGGAUUAGAUACCCCUGUAGUC
Molecule: ribosomal RNA, 440 nt
Filed under: uncultured bacterium
Lineage: Bacteria
Description: partial 16S ribosomal RNA
Rfam family: Bacterial small subunit ribosomal RNA
Source: RNAcentral